UACGGAGGGUGCGAGCGUUGUCCGGAAUCAUUGGGCGUAAAGGGCGCGUAGGUGGCCCGGUCAGUCAGUGGUGAAAGCGCGGGGCUCAACUCCGCGUCGGCCAUUGAUACUGCGGGGCUCGAGCACUGUAGAGGCAGGCGGAAUUCCGGGUGUAGCGGUGGAAUGCGUAGAGAUCCGGAAGAACACCGGUGGCGAAGGCGGCCUGCUGGGCAGUUUUGCUGACACUGAGGCGCGACAGCGUGGGGAGCAAACAGG
Molecule: ribosomal RNA, 255 nt
Filed under: uncultured bacterium
Lineage: Bacteria
Description: partial 16S ribosomal RNA
Rfam family: Bacterial small subunit ribosomal RNA
Source: RNAcentral